RNAcentral lists this ribosomal RNA (305 nucleotides) under uncultured bacterium. Its description in RNAcentral is "bacterial SSU rRNA". It matches the Rfam family "Bacterial small subunit ribosomal RNA", at positions 337 to 659 of the family's 1533-position model. The record is from RNAcentral.
ACCUACGGGGCGCAGCAGUGGGGAAUAUUGCACAAUGGGGGAAACCCUGAUGCAGCGACGCCGCGUGAGUGAAGAAGUAUUUCGGUAUGUAAAGCUCUAUCAGCAGGGAAGAAAAUGACGGUACCUGACUAAGAAGCCCCGGCUAACUACGUGCCAGCAGCCGCGGUAAUACGUGGGUGGCAAGCGUUGUCCGGAAUUACUGGGUGUAAAGGGAGCGUAGGCGGGAAGCCAAGUCAGCUGUGAAAACUACGGGCUUAACCUGUAGACUGCAGUUGAAACUGGCUUUCUUGAGUGAAGUAGAGGUU